CACGUAGGGUGCGAGCGUUGUCCGGAAUUAUUGGGCGUAAAGAGCUCGUAGGCGGUGUGUCGCGUCGGCCGUGAAAACCUGCAGCUUAACUGUGGGCGUGCGGUCGAUACGGGCAUCACUGGAGUUCGGCAGGGGAGACUGGAAUUCCUGGUGUAGCGGUGAAAUGCGCAGAUAUCAGGAGGAACACCGGUGGCGAAGGCGGGUCUCUGGGCCGAUAUUGACGCUGAGGAGCGAAAGCGUGGGGAGCGAACAGG
Molecule: ribosomal RNA, 254 nt
Filed under: uncultured bacterium
Lineage: Bacteria
Description: partial 16S ribosomal RNA
Rfam family: Bacterial small subunit ribosomal RNA
Source: RNAcentral